Molecule: ribosomal RNA, 301 nt
Filed under: uncultured bacterium
Lineage: Bacteria
Description: partial 16S ribosomal RNA
Rfam family: Bacterial small subunit ribosomal RNA
Source: RNAcentral
AGCAGCCGCGGUAAAACAGAGGGUGCGAGCGUUAAUCGGAUUUACUGGGCGUAAAGCGUGCGUAGGCGGCUUUUUAAGUCGGAUGUGAAAUCCCUGAGCUUAACUUAGGAAUUGCAUUCGAUACUGGGAAGCUAGAGUAUGGGAGAGGAUGGUAGAAUUCCAGGUGUAGCGGUGAAAUGCGUAGAGAUCUGGAGGAAUACCGAUGGCGAAGGCAGCCAUCUGGCCUAAUACUGACGCUGAGGUACGAAAGCAUGGGGAGCAAACAGGAUUAGAUACCCCUGUAGUCCCUGUCUCUUAUACC